Molecule: ribosomal RNA, 1372 nt
Filed under: uncultured bacterium
Lineage: Bacteria
Description: bacterial SSU rRNA
Rfam family: Bacterial small subunit ribosomal RNA
Source: RNAcentral
GAUGAACGCUGGCGGCGUGCCUAAUACAUGCAAGUCGAGCGAACGGACGAGAAGCUUGCUUCUCUGAUGUUAGCGGCGGACGGGUGAGUAACACGUGGAUAACCUACCUAUAAGACUGGGAUAACUUCGGGAAACCGGAGCUAAUACCGGAUAAUAUUUUGAACCGCAUGGUUCAAAAGUGAAAGACGGUCUUGCUGUCACUUAUAGAUGGAUCCGCGCUGCAUUAGCUAGUUGGUAAGGUAACGGCUUACCAAGGCAACGAUGCAUAGCCGACCUGAGAGGGUGAUCGGCCACACUGGAACUGAGACACGGUCCAGACUCCUACGGGAGGCAGCAGUAGGGAAUCUUCCGCAAUGGGCGAAAGCCUGACGGAGCAACGCCGCGUGAGUGAUGAGGGUCUUCGGAUCGUAAAACUCUGUUAUUAGGGAAGAACAUAUGUGUAAGUAACUGUGCACAUCUUGACGGUACCUAACCAGAAAGCCACGGCUAACUACGUGCCAGCAGCCGCGGUAAUACGUAGGUGGCAAGCGUUAUCCGGAAUUAUUGGGCGUAAAGCGCGCGUAGGCGGUUUUUUAAGUCUGAUGUGAAAGCCCACGGCUCAACCGUGGAGGGUCAUUGGAAACUGGAAAACUUGAGUGCAGAAGAGGAAAGUGGAAUUCCAUGUGUAGCGGUGAAAUGCGCAGAGAUAUGGAGGAACACCAGUGGCGAAGGCGACUUUCUGGUCUGUAACUGACGCUGAUGUGCGAAAGCGUGGGGAUCAAACAGGAUUAGAUACCCUGGUAGUCCACGCCGUAAACGAUGAGUGCUAAGUGUUAGGGGGUUUCCGCCCCUUAGUGCUGCAGCUAACGCAUUAAGCACUCCGCCUGGGGAGUACGACCGCAAGGUUGAAACUCAAAGGAAUUGACGGGGACCCGCACAAGCGGUGGAGCAUGUGGUUUAAUUCGAAGCAACGCGAAGAACCUUACCAAAUCUUGACAUCCUUUGACAACUCUAGAGAUAGAGCUUUCCCCUUCGGGGGACAAAGUGACAGGUGGUGCAUGGUUGUCGUCAGCUCGUGUCGUGAGAUGUUGGGUUAAGUCCCGCAACGAGCGCAACCCUUAAGCUUAGUUGCCAUCAUUAAGUUGGGCACUCUAAGUUGACUGCCGGUGACAAACCGGAGGAAGGUGGGGAUGACGUCAAAUCAUCAUGCCCCUUAUGAUUUGGGCUACACACGUGCUACAAUGGACAAUACAAAGGGCAGCGAAACCGCGAGGUCAAGCAAAUCCCAUAAAGUUGUUCUCAGUUCGGAUUGUAGUCUGCAACUCGACUACAUGAAGCUGGAAUCGCUAGUAAUCGUAGAUCAGCAUGCUACGGUGAAUACGUUCCCGGGUCU